Molecule: ribosomal RNA, 500 nt
Filed under: uncultured bacterium
Lineage: Bacteria
Description: partial 16S ribosomal RNA
Rfam family: Bacterial small subunit ribosomal RNA
Source: RNAcentral
AUUGAACGCUGGCGGAAUGCUUUACACAUGCAAGUCGAACGGCAGCACGGGGGCAACCCUGGUGGCGAGUGGCGAACGGGUGAGUAAUACAUCGGUACGUGCCCAGUCGUGGGGGAUAACUACGCGAAAGCGUAGCUAAUACCGCAUACGAUCUACGGAUGAAAGCGGGGGAUCGCAAGACUCCGCGCGAUUGGAGUGGCCGAUGGCAGGUUAGGUAGUUGGUGAAGUAAAGGCUCACCAAGCCUGCGAUCUGUAGCUGGUCUGAGAGGACGACCCGCCACAGUGGGACUGAGACACGGCCCAGACUCCUACGGGAGGCAGCAGUGGGGAAUUUUGGACAAUGGGCGCAAGCCUGAUCCAGCCAUUCCGCGUGCAGGAUGAAGGCCCUCGGGUUGUAAACUGCUUUUGUACGGAACGAAACGCGCUGAGUUAAUACCUCGGCGUAAUGACGGUACCGUAAGAAUAAGCACCGGCUAACUACGUGCCAGCCGCCGCCGUAA